GACGAACGCUGGCGGCGUGCUUAACACAUGCAAGUCGAACGGAAAGGCCCUGCUUGCAGGGUACUCGAGUGGCGAACGGGUGAGUAACACGUGGGUGAUCUGCCCUGCACUUCGGGAUAAGCCUGGGAAACUGGGUCUAAUACCGGAUAGGAGCCAUUUUUAGUGUGAUGGUUGGAAAGUUUUUUCGGUGUAGGAUGAGCUCGCGGGCUAUCAGCUUGUUGGUGGGGUAAUGGCCUACCAAGGCGGCGACGGGUAGCCGGCCUGAGAGGGUGGACGGCCAUAUUGGGACUGAGAUAAGGCCCAGACUCCUACGGGAGGAAGCAGUGGGGAAUAUUGAACAAUGGGCGCAAGCCUGAUGCAGCGACGCCGCGUGGGGGAUGACGGCCUUCGGGUUGUAAACUCCUUUCGCUAGGGACGAAGCUUUUUGUGACGGUACCUAGAGAAGAAGCACCGGCUAACUACGUG
This 465-nucleotide ribosomal RNA is filed under the name uncultured bacterium. Its description in RNAcentral is "partial 16S ribosomal RNA". It matches the Rfam family "Bacterial small subunit ribosomal RNA", at positions 28 to 507 of the family's 1533-position model. The record is from RNAcentral.